GUCUACGGCCAUGCCACCCUGAACAAGCCUGAUCCUGUCUGAUCUCGGAAGCUAAGCAGGGUCGGGCCUGGUUAGUAUUUGGAUGGGAGACCACCUAGGAAGACCAGGUGCUGUAGGCA
Molecule: ribosomal RNA, 119 nt
Filed under: Pteropus alecto (black flying fox)
Lineage: Eukaryota; Metazoa; Chordata; Mammalia; Chiroptera; Pteropodidae
Source: RNAcentral